Molecule: ribosomal RNA, 650 nt
Filed under: uncultured archaeon
Lineage: Archaea
Description: bacterial SSU rRNA
Rfam family: Archaeal small subunit ribosomal RNA
Source: RNAcentral
CCCACUAACCUUCGACGGGUACGGGCCUUGAGAGAGGUUGCCCGGAGUUGGACUCUGAGACACGAGUCCAGGCCCUACGGGGUGCAGCAGGCGCGAAAACUUCACAAUGUGGGAAACCACGAUGAGGGGAUUCCAAGUGCUAACACAUUGUGUUAGCUGUUCACCUGCCUAAAAAGCUGGUGAAGUAAGGGCCGGGUAAGACGGGUGCCAGCCGCCGCGGUAAUACCUGCGGCCCGAGUGGUGGCCGUUAUUAUUGAGCCUAAAGCGUCCGUAGCCGGUUCAGUAAAUUUCUGGGUAAAUCGGGCAGCUUAACUGUCCGAAUUCCGGAAAGACUGCUGAACUUGGGACCGGGGGAGGUUGGAGGUACUCCUGGGGUAGGGGUGAAAUCCUGUAAUCCUGGGGGGACCACCAGUGGCGAAGGCGUCCAACCAAAACGGCUCCGACGGUAAGGGACGAAGCCCUGGGGCGCAAACGGGAUUAGAUACCCCGGUAGUCCAGGGUGUAAACGCUGCAGGCUUGGUGUUGGGGGUCCUACGAGGGCGCCCAGUGCCGGAGAGAAGUUGUUAAGCCUGCCGCUUGGGGAGUACGUCCGCAAGGAUGAAACUUAAAGGAAUUGGCGGGGGAGCACAAGGGCGAAUCGCGCCGCUAUG